This is an RNA transcript of Dryobates pubescens (Downy woodpecker), 2884 nucleotides long. The record is from RefSeq and is a predicted model, not a curated record. Lineage: Eukaryota; Metazoa; Chordata; Aves; Piciformes; Picidae.
AUUAACUUUUCUAGGGUCUGGAAGAGGCGAUAUGUUGGAUCAGAUUCAUCUGCUGGCUGCUGUGACAGUCCUGGGAGUCCUGGAGCAAGCCUACUUCUUCCUCCAGGUGAUCUAUGCCAGGAGAGCAUUUGGCAUUUCUCCUCCAAAGAUCUCAGGCCCACCUGAAUUUGAGAGGGUCUUUCGAGCACAGGUGAACUCCUCUGAGUAUUUUCCCAUUUUCCUGGCACUUUUGUGGCAGGCUGGACUCUUCUUCCAUCAAGGUCUGGCUGCAGCCUUGGGUCUGCUCUAUCUCUGCAGCCGCUAUUGUUACUUUAUGGGAUACAGGACAUCGUCCUCAGAAAGGCUUGCCCCGAUGUACUUCAGCGCUGGAGUUCUCUGGAUCCUCCUCGCAGCGGCAGCCCUGGGCAUCUCGCGUUUCUUCCUCUCUCACUACGUGGGACUGGACGUGCUCCAGCUUCUCACAGUGUGACCUGCUCCUCUGUCCCUCAGGGGUGUCCUCACCUUCAAGUCCUGCUCCCUUCUACCCACAGGAACAGACUGGCUGUAGCUAAUACAGCACCAGUGACAAAUCCACCCUCAUAAAAAUAAAGAGCAUUUAAAGCCACCGCUGUGCAGUACUGAGAAACUAGCACCCACCUCCUGCCCAUCUGACCAGAGACUACAAGGGAAUUCAAAUGCUAAUGUGGAGCCAGACUGCUCAAUGAGUCUUUAUUUCUGCAGCAGCUCCAGGAUCAGAGCUCUGGGGAAGCAGCCGGCUGGAGCUGUGAGAUUAGUCUGCAGACAGUACUAUGAGGACGCUUUCCUUUCCUCACUCCGUUCCUCAUCCCGAUUUUGUAACUCCUUGUCGUAGUUUUACUUCUUUACAUUCGAGGGACUUCAAGAGCAAGGAAAAAGAAAGGCACACUGGAGUUUUGUAACUGAAACAAGCUCGGUAGUGACCCAUUUUAUGUGCUGAGUCUGCGGAGGCCUCACUGUCAACCCAACAGUGUUUUGGGGAUUGCCUGUGCACACCGCGGUCGUUUUGGAUGAUGUGUUUGUCACUGCCAGAACUGAGGAUGUUGUGUGCAGUAGGAUCCAGAACUCUCUUGAUCUGAGUAAAUGUAUGGACACACACAUCUGCUGGGUAUGCAACAGAGCAAGAUCAGAGGAAGGAGGAGUGCUUUGAUUGGGGUGAAUUUGAGGGUGCGGGUGCAAGAGCACUACCCUCACAGGAGAGAUGCAGAUGGGCUGUGAAUGACCCAUGCCAUACCUGCAGUUUGAGAGCAGUGUGUUUGGUUUGAACACAACGACAUCGCACUAGAGAUGCAGCUGAGGUGUGUUUUAAACAGGCCUGUGAGAGCAGGACCAUUGCCUGCAGGCAAAUACUCUCUUUACAUUACCACAGUAAAAACCAUUGCUGGGUUAGAUAGUGAGGUGAAAUGCAAGCAAAACCAAAGCUAUCUGACACUUUUUAUGUUAGCAGGUCGAGACAGGGAGGCCAGGAAAAUCCGUGCUCUGAGGUUACAAGGUUCACCUUCAUCAGUUUUAUACCUCCAAGCAAAAAACACUUAUAAGAGAGCAGCAAGAAUUAAUCUUUCCCCUAGUGAGGGUGGAGCCACAAUAUGUACAAGGUGAACAGGGUUUAAUGUGCCCUUUUGUGAAUGCUCCCCCCUCCAAAUGAAAACUUAACACGUUUGCUGUGAUUGCUUAGGAAAGCCCAUGCCCUGCUCUAGCCCCUGGCUCUGUGUUUAGGGACUUCCAGGGUCUAAGAGCUAAAUGUAACAUUUUGGUAGGAAGAACAAAAGUAGGGUCAGCAUUCAGGAGGACUCAUAGAGCACGUUCAGACUGAGAAAAUAAAAGAGGAUCUGUGUUGCGUUGCUUUGACAUUGAACUACUUGAGAAGAGAAAGCUGGGUGACCCCAAACAGCUAUAGCAAUGUUACCUGCAAAGGGUGGAAGUCAAGGAUCAUGAUGUCAGCAAGGACGAAAACAGCGAGCAACCUGCAGUUGGUGAGCGCUUAAAAUAGGCUCCCUCUCAUCAACACGGGUGGCUAGAGUAACAAGAGCUCAGGCAUUGUGUAAUCUGCCUUGAUACAGAUACUGCAGCACACUCUUGGAAGAAUGGAUUUGGUCACCCCACUGUGAAGUAUUUACAGCUUUACAGCUCUUUCUGCUUAUGGGAGGGUGCAAGGAAAUGCAGACAAGGCUUGUGGCAAAGGAUGCCAAUGGACACUUGCCCACCCUUCUCCUGGCAGGUACACCGCUGAACUGCCAAAGAGCUGUAAAUGUUCUGCCUGAGUGAAGCAGAGCAGCUUGAUGAGCUCAGUACAGCACUGCAUGGCCAGAUGGCUUCUGGAUCAGAGCUGACUCAUGCCCACCUAGCUCAGAGUCAGGCUAAACAUGCAGAUACCUAAAAUAUGCUGGUAGAAGACACCUCGUCUGCUGCUGUGAUUGCAGUCACAGCAAGGGAGCUAGCUGUGUCGGUAAAAAGAAAAGGUGUUCUGCCAACUGCCAGCAUUACAAUGCUGCAAAACUGAAAUGGUAACAGGCCUGAGUUACACUAAUGAGCAUCACAGAGGUGAACUCCCAACUGAGCCCCGAGGGGGUGUGAUCACUGAGGAAACAGAACAGAGCCAAUCCUUCCAUUUCCUUUUGACAAAGGAUGGUGAGCAUAAGCUGUGGGUAAGCUGGUGGUACAAAGGGGUGGGUGACCCAUUCGAACUGGAGAGCAGUGGUCUCGAAGGAAGGACCUGGGUAUUUGCUUUUCACUACAGCAGUGCUGUCAGCCUCUCCAGUUGGUUUUCAGGUGGGCUUGGCUUCUUAGUGAACUACAUUUUAGGAAAGCUGGAAAUGUGAGCUCUGCAGAGUCUCUGCUGCAGACCACCAUGUUCAGAGUAAUGAACAAA